Molecule: transfer RNA, 72 nt
Filed under: Spirochaetes bacterium GWB1_59_5
Lineage: Bacteria; Pseudomonadati; Spirochaetota
Description: tRNA-Arg
Rfam family: tRNA
About the family: Transfer RNA (tRNA) molecules are approximately 80 nucleotides in length.
Source: RNAcentral
GCACCCGUAGCCUAACGGAUGAGGCACUGGCCUCCGAAGCCAGCAAAGCAGGUCCGACUCCUGCCGGGUGUA